RNAcentral lists this ribosomal RNA (193 nucleotides) under uncultured bacterium. Its description in RNAcentral is "partial 16S ribosomal RNA". It matches the Rfam family "Bacterial small subunit ribosomal RNA", at positions 338 to 524 of the family's 1533-position model. The record is from RNAcentral.
CCUACGGGAGGCAGCAGUGGGGAAUAUUGGACAAUGGGCGAAAGCCUGAUCCAGCCAUGCCGCGUGUGUGAAGAAGGUCUUCGGAUUGUAAAGCACUUUAAGUUGGAGGAAGGGCAGUUACCUAAUACGUAAUUGUUUUGACGUUACCGACAGAAUAAGCACCGGCUAACUCUGUGCCAGCAGCCGCGGUAAU